This 787-nucleotide long non-coding RNA is filed under the name Astyanax mexicanus (Mexican tetra). RNAcentral describes it as "lncRNA (ENSAMXG00005013392.1)". The record is from RNAcentral. Lineage: Eukaryota; Metazoa; Chordata; Actinopteri; Characiformes; Acestrorhamphidae.
CGAUACCGCUACUGUCGGACCGCGGGCUGCUGAAGGGAGCGAGGAAACCAGCCCGUAGCUGCUGCAGAGGAUGAGCAAACGACCGAGCCCGAAUUCAGCUUCUGCAGCGGAGAACUUUCGCGCCUUUUUCUGAUUUUUUAAACCACCAACGUUCGAUUUGGAAUCCUAACGUUCGCUCCGCUGUUUAACCGCUCCCCGCUUACGCUUCUAACGCCUCGUCAUGUUUUUUACUCUUUAUUUUAUUCAGCACGUGAAGCCCGAGUCGCGAAUAAGCUCCGAAACAGUUCAGCGGGGACGAUAACGUGUCGUUAAAGUGCUUAUUUGUAACACUUGAAGCUUGAAUUUGGGAUUUUUGCUUGUCGGGAAGGCUGAGGAUUUUGAGUCGUUUUUCAGAGGUUGUGCAGCUCUCUGCUGGUUUACAGACACAAAGUGAGGAUCAUGCUGAUGAAGGAGUACAGGAUAUGCAUGCCACUGACAGUGGAGGAGGUUCUCUGGGAAACGUUGCCGAACUGUGACGUCUUUACCUGAGAGGCACUCUGUGUUCCAGAAAGCUGACUUUAACCCUUUCUUGAGCAGUUUCUUGAGCAACCUUAAACCACUUUAGUGCCAGUACAGUUGCUGGCUGUUGAUAUUGUUGUGUAUUAGCAAGAACCUAUGUAUCGAAAUACUUGAUUUAAUAUAUUGUGAUGUUAUUGUUUUUAUAAGCAAUUUUAGAUAUAAACAACUUUAGAUUUGUUUAACACAUUUUAGAUAGAUAGAUAGAUAGAUAGAUAGAUAGAUAGAUAGA